Long non-coding RNA from Peromyscus californicus insignis, 966 nucleotides. RefSeq lists it as uncharacterized. Lineage: Eukaryota; Metazoa; Chordata; Mammalia; Rodentia; Cricetidae. The record is from RefSeq and is a predicted model, not a curated record. The transcript is spliced from 7 exons.
UCGCUCAGCAGGGAUUUCUAAGGUCUGUUGACAGAGGACCUUUUAGGAGAUGAGAUGUCACAUGUGGACUGCAAGGGAACUGCUGAGUCCCACCCUCAGAAGGGCUGGCCUUGGGAAGACCCAGAUGACCCGGUAGCAUUUAGCCUGCAAGGCAGGAAAGACCAAAUUUCCGACUAUUUACAGGAGUAAUUUGAUUCAUCUCUCUGCACGCUGGACUCGGUGUCGGGUGGUGACCCAGCCUCAGCCAGCCAGGCAGGUGACCAUGAGGAACAGAGCGACCCACUGCCAUUAUCUCUUAUCUCAGAACUGUUACGUCAGAUAGAAACGGUUCUGGAAGAGGGAAAGAAUAGAAGUUAGUUCUGGACCACUCAACAUUUGGUGAUUCCUUAACCUGGAGCCAGGAUCUCUCAUUGAACAUGGAGGACAGCAGUUGGCUAGAGGGUAGACUAGCUAACUAACAAGCCUCAGGGAUCCUCCUGUCUCUGCCCUCUCAGCUCUGGGGUUACAGGCGCACACCUCCCCUCCUGGACUUCUCCCCUCCUCCAGCUCAUGCUGGACCCUCCGGCACCUGGACAGCUGUGUGUUGGCUUGCUCCUCCUGCAUGGAAAGAAGACAGAAGCUACACAGUUAUGGAACCUCUCUGUGAUUCUGAGGCUCUGAGGAGUUGGGAUAACCAGGAAAAUGACUUCACUUUGGCCUGCAGCUUGUCCACCAGGUCCUGGAGGCGGAGGAUGUUCUUGCGGUCCUCCUCGGCCUGCAAACAGAACAUCCAUAGCUGAGACCUACAGCCCCUGACUCCUUUUGCUGGGGUCUGCUCCACAUAGCCGUGCUGGAGGGUUUGCAGCUUGCUACCUGAAACUACAGAAAAAGGGCCACUGUGGUGGCAUGCUGCUGAGGCGGGGAGUGGAAAGAAUUGAUAAAAAGGAAGAACAACUCUGCUCAACAAGAAGGGACGAGCGCGGGUGA